AUUAUAAAUUUAAUUAUUAUUAUUGAUUUUUUAAAGUAUUAUUUUAUUUAUUAUUAUAAAAGAAAAAUUAAUUUUUUAUUAUAGUUUACUAGUAAAGUGAUUGAAUUUAUUUAUAUAUUAAUAAGAAAAAUUUAUUUUUUGUACCUUGUGUAUCAGGGUUGAUUAAUUUUAUAAUUAUUAUUAAUUUUUCUCGAAUUAAGAAGAGCUAAUUAUGUAUAUGUUUAAUUUUUUCAUAAAUUUUCAUAAUAUAUAAUUUGAAAUGAAAUGUUAUUCGUUUCUUAAUAUAUCUAGUUUUUUAAGAAAAGAAUUUAAUUCUCUUAUUAUUUAUUAUUAGUUAAUUUUUAGUUAAUAAUUUUUAGUAUGAAAUAAAUAAAGGGAUAAGCUUUUAUUUUAAUAAUUAAAAAUUUAUUUGGUUUUAUUUUUUGUAUAAUUUAAAUUGUUAAUCAUUUUUAUAAUAUAAUAGUUAAUUUUAUUUAAUUAAUGAUUUAUAUUUAUUUUAAUUUUUUUAUUAAAAAUUUAUGUUUAAUUUUUUAGCUUUUUUAUAAUGAUUAAAUUAGUAGAUAAAUAUGUAUUUUAUUAUUUAUUUUUAAGAUAAUAAAAAGGAACUCGGCAAAUAAAUUUUUCGCCUGUUUAUUAAAAACAUGUCUUUUUGAUUAUAAUUUAAGGUUUAAUCUGCUCAAUGAUUUAUUAAAUUGCCGCAGUAUUUUGACUGUGCAAAGGUAGCAUAAUAAUUAGCUUUUUUAUUGAGAGCUGGAAUGAAUGAUUGGACGAAAAAAUUUCUGUCUCUUUAUUAUUUAUUCUUUAAUUUUACUUUUAAGUUAAAAGGCUUAAAUUUUUUUAAAAGACGAGAAGACCCUAUAGAGUUUUAUUUUUAUUUUUUGAUUAAUUUUUAGAAUUUAAAAUAUUUUAUAAAAUAAAAAAUUUAGCUGGGGUGACUGAAAGAUUAAUUAAACUCUUUUAAUUGAAAUCAUUUAUUUAUGAAUAGAGAAAUUAUUUUUAUAAAUUUAAAAUAAAUUACCUUAGGGAUAACAGCGUUAUUUUUCUUUAGAGUUCUUAUUGAAAGGAAAGAUUGCGACCUCGAUGUUGGAUUAAAAUUUAUUUUUGGUGUAGAAGCUUAAAUAUUAAGUCUGUUCGACUUUUAAAAUUUUACAUGAUCUGAGUUUAAACCGGUGUAAGCCAGGUUGGUUUCUAUCUUUAAAUUUUUAAUAUAUUUUAGUACGAAAGGACCAAAUAUAUAAUAUAUUAUUUUAUUUUGAAUAAUAUU
RNAcentral lists this ribosomal RNA (1264 nucleotides) under Abscondita chinensis. RNAcentral describes it as "16S ribosomal RNA". The stretch from base 1025 to 1183 matches the Rfam family "Archaeal large subunit ribosomal RNA", at positions 2542 to 2701 of the family's 2987-position model. The record is from RNAcentral. Lineage: Eukaryota; Metazoa; Arthropoda; Insecta; Coleoptera; Lampyridae.